Molecule: transfer RNA, 73 nt
Filed under: Deinococcus sedimenti
Lineage: Bacteria; Thermotogati; Deinococcota; Deinococci; Deinococcales; Deinococcaceae
Description: tRNA-Asp
Rfam family: tRNA
About the family: Transfer RNA (tRNA) molecules are approximately 80 nucleotides in length.
Source: RNAcentral
GGUUCUGUAGCGCAGUGGUAGCGCGCCCGGUUGUCAGCCGGAAGGUCGCGGGUUCAACUCCCGUCAGGACCGC